Octodon degus (degu) is the source of this 1297-nucleotide RNA transcript. It is a transcript of the gene named XPA, DNA damage recognition and repair factor, with no coding region annotated. NCBI's taxonomy places the organism in Eukaryota, Metazoa, Chordata, Mammalia, Rodentia, Octodontidae. The transcript is spliced from 7 exons. The record is from RefSeq and is a predicted model, not a curated record.
GCCAAAGACCAUAUAGGUUGCAUCAGAGCUCAGAUUUAAGUUUUUGGAGUUGAAACACUAAGCGAAACUCAUGUUUUAAAAAUGACCAGAGCCUAAAACAUCGCCUUACCUCCCACGCUAAGCGCAGGUUUCAAGACAGCGGCCAAGCAGGACCUGUUUCUGCGCACGUCCAGGUCCCGCCCCUGCCCCAUUUCCGGCCCGCCCACUCAGCUGCGCAGGCGCGUUGGCUCCCUGAGGCCUUGGGCCUUGCCAGUAACCCAACCAAGCUGUGGCUUAGGUCUAGAGCAAAGGGAUAGCCUAGAGAUGGCGGCGGCUGAGGCAGUGUCGCCGGAGCCCGCGGCUUCAGAACAGCCAGUGGAGCUCUCGGCCUCCGUUCGCGCGAGCAUCGAGCGGAAGCGGCAACGUGCGCUGAUGCUGCGCCAGGCCCGGCUAGCGGCGCGGCCUUACCCGGCGACGACGGCUGCAGCUACUGGAGGCAUGACAAAUGUAAAAGCAGCUCCAAAAAUAAUUGACACAGGAGGGGGCUUUAUUUUGGAAGAGGAAGAAGAAGAAGAACAUAAAAUUGGAAAUAUUGUUCAUCAACCAGGACCAGUUAUGGAAUUUGAUUAUACAAUAUGUGAAGAAUGUGGGAAAGAAUUUAUGGAUUCCUAUCUUAUGAAUCACUUUGAUUUGGCAACUUGUGAUAACUGCAGAGAUCCCGAUGAGAAACAUAAGCUUAUUACCAAAACAGAAGCAAAGCAAGAAUACCUUCUAAAAGAUUGUGAUUUAGAAAAAAGAGAACCAGCUCUUAAGUUCAUUGUGAAGAAGAACCCUCAUCAUUCACAGUGGGGAGAUAUGAAACUCUACUUAAAGCUGCAGAUUGUGAAGCGGUCUCUUGAAGUUUGGGGUAGUCAGGAAGCACUAGAAGAAGCAAAAGAAGUGAGACAAGAAAACCGAGAAAAAAUGAAACAGAAGAAAUUCAAUAAAAAAGUAAAGGAGGUUGGUGGAUGCUCCCGUCCUCCUGACUAGGCCACAGAGGGCUGAGAGUGGAGUAGACACUAGAGAUUAGACACAAAGAGCUGACUGUGCAGUUUGCUCAGAAGGCUCAGAACAGAGAGGAAUAGAAGCAAGUCUAAAGGUUAUUAGUUGAAAAGAAAUUGGAACCUGGUUCCUCUUGGUCUUCUGAUUUUGAUCCACAAAGAAGCUGACAAAGUUUACUUCUUUAUGGGAAGAACUGCGACGAGCGGUAAGAAGCAGUGUGUGGAAAAGAGAAAUGACUGCUCAUGAGCACGAGUAUGGCCCAGAAGAGAGCUUAGAA